Molecule: non-coding RNA, 5337 nt
Organism: Cherax quadricarinatus
Lineage: Eukaryota; Metazoa; Arthropoda; Malacostraca; Decapoda; Parastacidae
Source: RefSeq, a predicted model, not a curated record
ACACGCACACACACACACACACACACACACACACACACACACACACACACACACACACACACACUGUACACUGUACGUUAGGCCCAUAUUGAAGUAUGUAGCACCAGUUUGGAACCCACAUCUAGCCAAGUACGUGAAGAAACUAGAGAAAAUGCAAAGGUUUACAACAAGACUAGUCCCAGAACUAAAGGGUAUGUCCUAUGAGGAGAGGUUAAGGAAAGUCGACCUGAUGACACUGGAGGACAGGAGAGAUGGGGGGACAUGAUAACGACAUAUAAAAUACUGAGAGGAAUUGAUAAGGUGGACAGAGAUGGAAUGUUCCAGAGAUGGGGUACAGCAACAAGGGGACACAGUUGAAAGUUGAAGACACAGAUGAAUCACAGGGAUGUUAGGAAGUAUUUCUUCAGUCACAGAGUAGUCAGAAAGUGGAAUAGUUUGGGAAGUGAUGUAGUGGAAGCAGGAUCCAUUCAUAGCUUUAAGCAGAGGUAUGAUAAAGCUAAUGGUGCAGGGAGAGUGAUCCAGUUGUGGCCAGUGAAGAGGCAGGGCCAGGAGCUAUGACUCAACCCCUGCAGCCACAACUAGGCGAGUGCACACACACACACAAAAUAUAGGUGAGUACAUAAACACACACAUACAAUUGUAAUGAAAUUCAGAUUGGGCCUCUUCACACAGCUUCAAGUUACCUGUUUCCAAUGCAACUUCUGUUAUUCUCUCAAGAUUGUCAUUUCUUCUUGCUAUCAUUGUAUGGCUCUCCUAUGCUAUCUGGGUUUUCCAAAUUGUUAACUUCCAUAGCCUCUUCGAUUGUUGCAUGUCAUAAAAAUUGAGUUUGAUCCAAAGAAAGGGAGGACAAGUCCAAGCCCUUAAAUUAAGAACCCCUCAUCACCAUUAACCCUUAAACUGUCCAAACAUAGAUCUAUAUUCACUUGUGUAGCGCUCCAAAUGUAGAUCUACGUUUUAUUUUACAUGCUUUCAAAUGUAAGAAAAAAAACUAGAUCUACAUUCGGAGUGCUACACAAAUGAACGUAGAUCUACUUAAGGUAGAUCUACGUUCAUUUGUUAAGAGACCUCCCUUGAGGAAUAAUGUCAUAGAAGAUUGAUUUCAUUUAAUAUUCUGUUUAAUUUUCCUAUAGGAGGAGGGAUAUGGGGCUGUUAGACUGGCCUUCCUUCAUCUUCAUUUGGUUUCAGUUGUGCCCAAACUAGACAAUAGGAAGCAAGAAUAAUCCUCUGCUUCCACAGCUACCCUUUCAUUCAUCAUCAGUGAUUACAUUUGUAUCUGGAGGCCUUUCAGUUUUCCUUGGCCCAAAGCUCGUGUGCGAGGAUUGUCACCUUAAAAUCACAACCCUCUGUGGAUCAUUUAACUUGUAUGAAAAGUUUAACAUCCCCUCAUUGUGAUAUUAUGAUCACUGUCUCUGUUAUCAUAUUUCCAUGGCCUUCAUGGUCCAGUGUACUGGAAAGAUCAAGUAUGAACGGAAACAAAACCAGUACAGUGGACCCCCGCAUAACGAUCACCUCCGAAUGCGACCAAUUAUUAUAAUCAGUGAUCGGCAUGGAAGAGUGUCCUCGAAGAUUACAAAUAAAAUGAAUGUGGGAAACUUCAGCACGUAAACUUGUGACCGGUGACACGAGAUACAGCUAGGAAAUUGAAAGAUAAGUGUUUAUUAUAUUGUAUCAAAUUUUGUAGAUCAGUGUAGUGGCACUUUGUAGGUUGUAGUUAGAAUUGAGUGGUUGUAAAUAUAAACAGAUCUUAAUCAGAUUUUACUUUAAGGUCAUUUGUACUUGCUUUGAAAAUACAUUUAGUUCAGGACUGCCUAUGCUUUUUUAAUAGGAAAGCAAGUGUGGUAGAAUUGUGUUAAUGCUCAAGUGGUUAGACACAGUGCUGCACAUGGUAACUCAAGAUGCACUCACCAUUAACAAUGAAACAGUGUUAACAGUGAUGGUGCUCUUUAAUGGAUUGCUAUGAAAACUCUUGAGAAAACUAGUUAUAAAAGAGUCAAAGCAAAAAAGUGAAAACUCUGGGUAGAGAUGGUUAAAUACAUUAUGUGUAAUAUUGGUAUGAUGGUGAACAAGUGUUACUAUCAUUAAUCUAAUGAGGCUCUUUACCAAUGUUACUAAAUGCCCCUAGUUGGAACCAUUGUUUUGGGUGGAAAUAAAUUUUUCUUGUUAUUCCUUCAUGUAGUACUGCAUCAUUGCAAGCCUCAAUUCAAUUUAUUGUGGAUGAAGUCUUUUAAUGUAGCACUCUCCACAUAAAUUAUUUUAUAUUUUCAAAUGCAAACAUCAAAAGGUAUUGUUAUGAACAAGAAGACAAAAAAAAGAUGGAGGAGAUUUGACAGCUGUGUUAUAUGUAUGUAUCAAUAGUAAGUGUAAUAGUUGAGGUCAUAUAUAAAUAUAUACAAGUACAGUACAGACCUUCAAAUCCAGGACCAUUGGGACACAUAUCAAGUCAUUUUUCAGGACUUAACAAGUUUUGACAGACUAAAUAAAAUUAGGUAUUCUAUCCAUGGUCAGAUUUCCUGAAUAACCUGUGUGUGUGAUAGUAAAAAUUGGUAUUAAGGUUAUUACAAAUGUGCUAUGGGACUUACGUGAGUUGCCUAUAAGUUUCAGUUGUAGGGCUAAUAUGGUUCCCUGACUGCUGCACCCUUCAACUGAGCACUAACCAGUCUUACACCAUUGUUAAUACAUCAUAGUGUAGGUUAAGACACUGAAAUCAAAUGUGUGAGGAACAAGGCGCCAACUUCACAGAAAUUAGCACCGUUUUAUCAGUGUUGUUUAUGUUUGUGUCAAUCCUGUUUUUUUAGUUGACAUUAUUAUAUCUGAAAUACAAAUAUUUAUCCCAUCUCUCUUCCCUUUCUCUGUCUUCAAAUACAGUUUUCUUGCACAUUUACAUCUAUUUCUGAAUUAUCUAUGCAGAGCUGCAAGUAGGUGGCACAGUUAACCACAUUUAAUUAAUUAUUAUUAUAAUCAAAAGAAGCACUAAACUGCAAGGGUACUUUUAAUGAAAUUACAUAUAUGUGAUGGUAACUUCUGGCAGGAUGCUACCCUCAGUUGAGAACCAUACUCAUUAUACCCUGUGGGAGGAUGGGCUUGCACUGUACUGUCAUUUUGUCCUUAUGCUGUACAUAUUGGGCAUGCUGUUUCCAGUUAAUCAAGAAAUGACAGAAUACGCCCUGCUGCCUGAAUUUACUUUAAUAUUUAUGUAAUUUAGUCAUCAUUGGCUAUAUACGUAUAAAGAUAAUUUACAUUAAAUUAAAGUAACCUAACCUACAACUAUUUAUUUUUGUAGGCUCCUUAGAUGGUUCAGAAAUUGACAUGCAAUUGACACACCUUUGGUAUGUUUUGAGGAUGGGUUGGUACUGCAUAGGGUGGAAACUAGAUUCCUUUAAAUGAUAAAUAUGAGUCUUGAACAAUAUGCAACUCAGGCAAGUACAGUUAGGUACCAUGUCUUGAGAUUAGCAAAUGGAGGAUUGAGCCUUCAGUCAUUCCUUGUCAUUAUGCUAAAUAAAACACACAAAAUAUGAUAAUAACUACUGGUGAUAAAAUGAAAAAUAUUUAAUUUUUUUAAAUAGGAUAUUGAAUACAUGAAAAAAUAGUUUGAGAAUUUCUUUUGGAUUUGAAUGUUUGUACCUGCAUGUAUGUUCAGUAUGUACAUAAAUAAAUAAGCCACAAGGAAGUAGACAUUUUCUUUAAGUCAAUUUUGAAACAUUUUUAAAUUUUUAUUUAGUAUAAUGCUGAAAAAAUUUCUUUCAGUUGAUAAGUAUUGUCCGUCAGCAGUGACUUUAGCUUUACAAACACAUCCUUCCUUGUGGCUUUAUCCCAUACUUGCCAUAGAAUCCAGGGUGUCAGGAAUUGUAGUAUGCUCCUAGUCUGUGUGUAACCUGUUCAGAUGGCCUCAAGGACCACCAGACUCAAGUGCAAAAACUGAGGCAAACCUGUUAAAAAUGAACAGGUAAUGCAAGUGAUUUGGAAAGGAUAUAUUAUUAAUAAAGGAAACAGAGGUUAGAUUAGUUCACAAAUAAUAACUGAAUAAGGAUGACAUUUCUCAUUGAACAAUGACAAAUGUUCAAAUUUAGUCCAUGUAAGAUAUGAUGUAGGUUUUCAUUUCAAGAAACCUUACAAUGUACAGUAUUGUCAGGUUAAAUUUUAUAAUAUCAUCAGGGUUGCCAGGUCACCAUCUGGAGAAGACCCAGGCCGGAAGUACCGGCGAAUCAACAUGAAUGAAUGAAUCAUCAGGGUGUAAAGUAUGAAACACUCUUAACAGUGCAGAGGGUAAAAAAAAAAAAAAAAAAAAAAGGCUGCAAUAAAGAGGUCUUGUUCAUAAAAUAUGUUUCAUAAUCACAAGACUAUACAUUAUGAAAUAUUUAUGAUAACACAUUUCUUUGUAUUUAAGUGUAUUAUUGUACUUUACUAUAGGAAAAUUUGGCCUAAAAAUAUGAAGUCAUUUUGUCAUCUCUUAUAUUUGGCAUAGAUAAGGUAGAUGUGCAUAGAGCUGGCUUCAGAAGUUGGUUUUAUUUUACAUUAUGGCCCCAAGGUUCAAACUUGCAUUGUAACAAAGUUUUAGGUUAGGGAAUUGCUUGCUGCAAAUAUUUUUUUAUACAUGGAACAAAGUAUGUGAUGAGCCACAACUGAUGACACAAGCCCCUUUUUAUCCAACACACACUGUCACCCAGGUGACAUGGUCCAUAGACUGUGACACCUCUGUCAUUUCCAACUAAAAUUCAAAAUGAUGUGAAUAAAACAUUUAGGAGUAAAGAGGGAAUUAAAAGCAUGACUAGUAGUGCCACAGUUGCCAGCUGCACCAUGAAUAGGUUCAAGUGUUAGAAUUGGAAAUCUCACUGUUCUUACUAGUUUAUGGUGGAUCCCAAAUAGUAUUGCACACCUCAUCAUAAUCCAUCAUCUCUCACUAAGUGCAUAAAUGUAUCUCCACCCAUUACCCCAAUGUAGUGACAUGGUCCAUAGUCCCCUUCAUCCAUUAUUCAGGUUCAUAGUCUCUGCCUAUCACUUAGGUGCAUAGUGUAGUCCAAUCCCCAACACCCAUAACUCAGGUGCUUAGCAGCAUGGUUUAUAAUCCCUUCCAUCACCCAGGUGCAUAGUAAUGUAGUCCAUAGCCACCCACCCAUUACCCCAAGUGCAUUAGGACAUAGUCCCCUCCAUGCAGAUACAUAGUAAUGUAAUCACAGUCCCCUGGUGCAAUUGGUAGCAUGUAUAAAUGAAAGACUACUGGUCACACAUUUGAUUCCAGCAUUGUGAAUUUUAGUUUGUAAAUUAUGAUUUCCCAGGGUGAUGGAAUAUUCAUGAUUAUAUACUGACUUUAAUAACAUGUUGCAAAAUAAAAAAAAAGAA